UACGGAGGGUGCGAGCGUUAAUCGGAUUCAUUGGGCGUAAAGGGUGCGUAGGUGGCGCCGUAAGUCAGGUGUGAAAUCUCGGGGCUCAACCCCGAAACUGCACUUGAUACUGCGGUGCUCGAGUACUGGAGAGGAGAUUGGAAUUUACGGUGUAGCAGUGAAAUGCGUAGAUAUCGUAAGGAAGACCAGUGGCGAAGGCGAAUCUCUGGACAGUUACUGACACUGAGGCACGAAGGCCAGGGGAGCAAACGGG
This 253-nucleotide ribosomal RNA is filed under the name uncultured bacterium. RNAcentral's name for it is "partial 16S ribosomal RNA". It matches the Rfam family "Bacterial small subunit ribosomal RNA", at positions 524 to 776 of the family's 1533-position model. The record is from RNAcentral.